GUGACUGAUUUACCACAUGGUUUAGAGAGAUAGCACAGAAACUGCUGAAAAAUGGUUGUAAAAUUAUUUUAUUUAAAAAAAAUUCAACUUAAAAAUAUAUAAAAAAUACAUUUUGAGAGAUCAUUUCUUACUUUCCUUGAAUGUCAAUUUAUGCUGCAAAAUUUGACAUAAAACUUAUUUCAGAAAUAAUAAAAAAUAAUAAUUAUAAAACAAGAAAUUGAAAGAAACACUCUAUUCCACACACAUUCUAACACACACUAUGUAACUGACAUACCAAAACAAUAAAUUAAAGGUUUCCUUUUAAAUAAUAUUUUUUGAGUUUUAUGUGCUCAUCCAACUCAAUCUCAAAUGGAAAUCUAGAUGAUGUCAAAAUUCAUUAUACUACAUAAUGUAUAUGCAUAUAAAAUGAUC
RNAcentral lists this long non-coding RNA (411 nucleotides) under Mytilus galloprovincialis (Mediterranean mussel). Lineage: Eukaryota; Metazoa; Mollusca; Bivalvia; Mytilida; Mytilidae. The record is from RNAcentral.